GGGUGAGUAACGCGUAUCCAACCUUCCGUACACUCAGGGAUAGCCUUUCGAAAGAAAGAUUAAUACCCGAUGGUAUGAUGAGAUUGCAUGAUAGCAUCAUUAAAGAUUUAUCGGUGUACGAUGGGGAUGCGUUCCAUUAGGUAGUAGGCGGGGUAACGGCCCACCUAGCCGACGAUGGAUAGGGGUUCUGAGAGGAAGGUCCCCCACAUUGGAACUGAGACACGGUCCAAACUCCUACGGGAGGCAGCAGUGAGGAAUAUUGGUCAAUGGACGAGAGUCUGAACCAGCCAAGUAGCGUGAAGGAUGAAGGUCCUACGGAUUGUAAACUUCUUUUAUAAGGGAAUAAAACCUCCCACGUGUGGGAGCUUGUAUGUACCUUAUGAAUAAGCAUCGGCUAACUCCGUGCCAGCAGCCGCGGUAAUACGGAGGAUGCGAGCGUUAUCCGGAUUUAUUGGGUUUAAAGGGAGCGCAGACGGGUCGUUAAGUCAGCUGUGAAAGUUUGGGGCUCAACCUUAAAACUGCAGUUGAUACUGGCGUCCUUGAGUGCGGUUGAGGUGUGCGGAAUUCGUGGUGUAGCGGUGAAAUGCUUAGAUAUCACGAAGAACUCCGAUUGCGAAGGCAGCACACUAAGCCGUAACUGACGUUCAUGCUCGAAAGUGUGGGUAUCAAACAGGAUUAGAUACCCUGGUAGUCC
RNAcentral lists this ribosomal RNA (694 nucleotides) under uncultured bacterium. RNAcentral describes it as "bacterial SSU rRNA". It matches the Rfam family "Bacterial small subunit ribosomal RNA", at positions 104 to 796 of the family's 1533-position model. The record is from RNAcentral.